GGAGCGAUAGCUCAACUGGGAGAGCACCGGCCUGAAACGCCGGCGGUCCAGGUUCGAGUCCUGGUCGCUCCA
This is a transfer RNA of Halorientalis sp. IM1011, 72 nucleotides long. It matches the Rfam family "tRNA". Rfam says of the family: Transfer RNA (tRNA) molecules are approximately 80 nucleotides in length. The record is from Rfam. NCBI's taxonomy places the organism in Archaea, Methanobacteriati, Methanobacteriota, Halobacteria, Halobacteriales, Haloarculaceae.